RNAcentral lists this long non-coding RNA (607 nucleotides) under Phasianus colchicus (ring-necked pheasant). RNAcentral's name for it is "lncRNA (ENSPCLG00000017319.1)". Lineage: Eukaryota; Metazoa; Chordata; Aves; Galliformes; Phasianidae. The record is from RNAcentral.
CCAAAUGACCCCUCGUGACCCCAAUGACCCCUAAUGACCCCUAAUGACCCUCAGCCUACACGUACUUUGUGAAGGGCUCCCGCUAUUGGCAGUUCGACAACCGCCAGCUUCGCGUCACCCCGGGUUACCCCAAAUCCCUGCUCCGCGAUUGGUUGGGCUGCCCGGAGCCCCGCCCACCACCCCGCCCAGGCCACGCCCACGCGGUCACAAGCCACGCCCACGAUUCCCAGGCCACCCCCACUCGUGUGAAAGCCACGCCCACGGGGCCAAGGCCACGCCCACCCCGACCAGGCCACGCCCACACGGUCUCAAGCCACGCCCACAAUUUCCAGGCCACGCCCAGCCUUUCCCAACCACGCCCACCAAGCCGAAGCCAUGCCCACUCUGUCAUGGCCACGCCCCCCAUAUGAGCUAUGAGGAGCUGAAGCCACGCCCACACCGCAAAGCCCCGCCCCCCUCCCCUGUGAUGGGAACCAAUGGAAGCACGGCUUUUUCUGUCUGUGUGGGCGUGGCUUGGCUCGACCACGCCCUCCUGCUGCAGUCAAUGGGAGACAGAGGCCACGCCCACUCUGCACUGGCCACGCCCCCCCAAUGGCCGAUAGGGUUU